This 17306-nucleotide long non-coding RNA is filed under the name Triticum aestivum (bread wheat). Its description in RNAcentral is "long non-coding RNA (TAES_LNC003657)". The record is from RNAcentral. Lineage: Eukaryota; Viridiplantae; Streptophyta; Magnoliopsida; Poales; Poaceae.
UAAGCUGCACGCCUGUUUAUGGGAAAAUGAAGCCCUGCUGAACCUUACUUUUCAAGUAACUAGUUAUCCUGAAUGUGUACUGGUCAAAUUUUGUUAAUUAUGCUUGCCCGUUUGCCAGCCUGAACGUUGUACCAACGUGUUCUAUGUCAUGCACUUUUUGAGUGGCCUGUUGUUGGUGCUUCUGUUUGUCUGGCUGCCUGGUGAUAUCUAAGUUUGGUUCUUGUUAUGUAGUAGUAAUAGCCUGCUGCAUUCUCUUGACAGUGUUCAGUGUUUGGUAUAUAUGGCAAAUCCGACCCCUCAAACUCGGCGGGCACGCCUUAUAUUUCAUCUUGCAUGCUCGCGUCCCUUGUAUCCUAAACCUCAAAACCAUGCAAUUCAUGCAAUGGUAUGUAAAAUACAUGAUCAUAGCCCAGUUCAUCGGAUUAGCUGGACAAAAAGUAACAUGAUUCAUCGGAGCUCAACGGCGGACAGUGCAUAUCCAUACUACAAACAUAGAUAAAAUAUAAAUAGAGGGAUGAAGGGUGGGGGAAAUCAUCAUUUCCUUGCUGGCCCCUUUCCCUUUCGGUUGUUGGCGUGGAGCAGGCGGUCCUGCUCCUUGGCAUGGCGAGCCGCCUUCGCUGCCGCCUCCUUUGUUGCCUCGUGCUCUGACAGUUGAAUGGCGAGUCGGAGUGCCGCAUUCUUGCGGUGGAGGCGCCAUGCAUAUGUCUCCGCCGUCGUGAGUGUUGCCUCAGGAUCGAUCGAUGCGCGGACAUCGACUGGGAUGCCGAUGCCCUCGCCUGCUGCCUGCUCGUGCCUUUGACUCGGGCGUUCGAGUGCAUGUUGGCCCUGCCGCGGGCACGAGGACCCGGCGGUGGCUGGGCACCAACCUCCGAAGCAGAGGGUGUUGGUGGUGGGCGGCGUACCUGGAGGAGCGGAGCAAAGUGGUUGGAGCUGCGCGCCUAGCGGUAAGGACCGGCGAUGUCGACGGGCGUCGGGCACUGUCGAAGUGGAUCUGCCGCUGUCGGAUCCGCCUUGGUCGACGACCGAAUGCCUCAAUGCAAUGCGGAGGGCGACCUCCUUCACAUCGUCGGGGUCCUCUUUGCGCAAUAGGCUAGACCAGUCGGAGCCUGAGUCCCCACCGGAGGCAGCUGCUUCGGUCGACGGCGAUAUUUGUGGGGCAGGCAUGGGCCAGGCCGGGCCAAGUCGACGUGGCGGGCGCGUUCGGACCGCCUCAUAUUUGGGCUGGAUAUGAGGGGUGUCGGUCACUCCGGGCGUUUGAGGGCGGUUUGAGAGGCCUGAUUGGAUCCAAAUUUCAUGACCGGUCAGUGACCGGACGGCCUGCCAGGGCGUUUAAAACAGAUUUGAGGGGUCCGAUUAUAGAUGCUCUCAUAUCCUAUGUCUGGGCCAUAUAUAUUCUCAUCUAUCUGUCCAUCACCUAGAAGGUGCCAUAACUUUCUUCCAUCUUCAUGUGGCUUUUCUACAUGCACACCCGGCUGAACUCCUCGCCGCGAUUGUGCCAUCCCACAGUAAUGCAUCGUGGCUCAACUUACUCACAGGCUAAUAGCCGCAACGUAAACUACGUUUCUGGCUAAUGUCCCUAUUCAUUGAGGUAUGUCUACCAACAAAUGGCCAGGACCAUAGGUCAUGGACAUUGAGAUGUCAAGCCGAUGGAUGUAGCGUAUCCAGCUGCAAACAUGGAGAGUUGGAGAGGUAUCUCUAUGCCCUCUCGAGUGAUCAGAUCAGGAAGAACAUGGUCGUGCAAGGUUAAGAGUUAACCUCAUCAGGGAGCUGAUUCACAUCUCGAGUAGCGAGGAGGAAGCCACCAAACAUAGUGUGCAAGUUCUCGUCUUGGGCUUUGACAAAGUGGCGAGGGGAUUUUACAUGUGACACAUUGAGGGCUCCUUUGAUUCAAAGGAAUUGCAUAGGAUUUUUGAAGGCUUUGGACCCUUAGGAAUUUUUCCUGUGAUGCUUGUUUGAUUCGUAGGAUUGGCAUCCUUAGAAAUUUUUCCAUAGGAUCCAUUUCUAGUACAUUUUGGAGGAAAAUUUCCAUCCACUCAAACCUUUUUGUAGAAUUCCUUUGUUUUUCCUGCGCUAUCAAACAUUCUUUCAAAUCCUAUAGAAUAAUAGAACAUGCCAUCCUAUUCCUGCAUUUUUCCUAUUCCUUCAUUUUGACAAUCCUGCGAAUCAAAGAGGCCCUGAGAGGUUUGUCUGAAUGAUUUUGUAGGGGCUUGGGAACUGGCACCUCUUGCUAGAGGUCGUUACCAGUUAUUGGGUGAGGAGUUUGAGUUAGCCUGGCGCGACUUGAUGAACUUGGCGCCAGAGCAGCAACCCAUUGGCGCAAGUAUGGAGUUGGUCUGCUAUCAGGUUGAGUAAGAAUUACUCAGAUUCUCGAACUGUUCCGGGGUGGCCCAAACCCCGACAGUUCCAACAGAGGAUCGUCAUUCCUCCUGACGGGCGCUCUCAUUCGCGCCCGCCAGUUCCCCGGUAGCCCCUACACCGGUAGCUUCCUUACCACCUGGCUCUCCUACAAAUCUCCCAUCCUCUUCCCUCUCAGCCGCUCUCUGUUUCUUAUACAUGUCCGAGAUUACAUCAGUUCUGCUAUCUGUAUCUAAACUGGGUGCAACCAUGUUGCAUGUGGUCCUUUUACCAAGCACCGAUUCCUUCUCCCCUGAAUCUUUUCAUCCCUUGAGCUGACCGAUGUACCUUUUUAUCUUGGCCUUGAACUCUAUUGUCUGAGUCUUCGCUGGGCUGCUGAUCUGGGAGGCUGGCACCCCCUCCUGGGCAGCCGAGUCCCCCACCUUGGCUACUUCACCCGAGGCCUACACCUUCCCUGUUACGACUUCCAUCGCUGCUGGGGAGGAGGCAGUAGCGUCAGGAGUGGCCUUGACAGCAUCCGGUCCGAACCCUGGAGGGUAAGGAGGGGUCACUGCAUCCUUGAUGUUGUGUGCAAGCGGGGUUUUGUCAAUGUCGGCCCCCGCCCCAGUACCCGGCGGUGUUGAUGGUGAAGUGCCUGCGCCACCCAAGGCUAUGGUUGGUGUAGAAGCCGUGGGCAGCACAGGUUUUGUCGUGGCCGUCAUAGUAUUUUCGCCGAUGCACGUCUUCCUUGUACCUUUCUGGCCCGGCUCGUCGCUCACUCUAAGCGCGCUGACCGCGGCGAUAGCCGCUUGUACAGCCGGAUCCAGCAACACGUCAUCAGGGAUAUCCCUGCAUCUUACCAUGUCCUGUGAUCGAGCAUGCACCGCCUUCUUGUCUCUGCCUAGCUUCUCCCAGGCUAACUUCGCCGGGGCUGUCCAUGCCACCCCGUCCAACUCAGAGCCAAAGUGCAAGAAACGCCUGGCACUGCAAGCGUCCGGAGCCACAAAGCCUCCCUUGUUCUUGCUUGAUUUGUAGGGCGACGCCCUCAUCGCGCCUGUGAGCCUUACUGCUUGAUCAUCCGUCGGCAGCCUGCAAUCCCUUUCCCCAUGACCUAUAUGCCCACAAUACAUACAGAAACGCGGGGCUCUCUCGUACUUGACCUCUAGGUCCAUCUUCUUAUCCACACCUAACUCUCUAGGACUGAUCUCACGCAGGAGAGGGGUGUUUACAUCAUGUUCAACUCUUACACGAAGAAACUCCGAGAAAAUAUUCCCAAACUUAUCAGUAUCUACCCUCAGAACUUUCCCUAAGAGACCGCCCAGCAUCCAUCCGAUCUCUUCCGACAGCAUGAGCGGUGGUACAUCAUAGAUGCGAGCCCAGAUUGGCAUGACAUUCACCAGCACGUCCGCAGCCUUGCCCUGUCCAUCAAAAGGAACAAUGAGGAAUGCAUCCUUACGGUGUGUCCAUGGGCCGUUCUCCAGGACGUGCCGACGAUCGCCCUCACGCUCGAAUUCGAGCAUGAAGCGAUUGUUGCGGAGGGGUGUGUAGUCGAGCCGUCCACGCAGCCCCCACUUGCUCUUCAGUUCACCAAACAACCCCGCCGUGCUGAAGGGAAGCACGGAGAAGUACCCCACUGCGAGCCAGCGGGUACUCAUGGCAGCCCUUGCCCUUGUCAGGUCGAGCUCGAUUGUUGCAGCGCCACGCCGCUCCACAAGAGCCGCUAUCCCCCCUGGUUGGGGAGUCGGCAGGGCGCCGCCACCCCGUCCACCCUGCGAGGAGGAUCCUCGCUCCAAUCUCUUGCCACCGCGCUCGCCGCCGUUUGAGGCGACGACCUCCAGCUUGUUCUCUGCGGCCGGCUGCUUCAUCUUAUUAUCAGUGGUGUUCUCCAUAUCGUGCGUAAUGGGAAUUGUGGUAUGUUCUUGUGAUUGCAGUAUGGUAGCUCCCUUUCCUCUUCCGAUACUUAUAUACUCGUGGUCAUGGCUCUUGCAAGGCAUGGGAUCCCUCAUAUUUGGUGCAGACCUCGCAUAUAUGUCAGGUGGAUCCCCAGUUUGGGAUAGAGUGAUACGCUCCUGAAUUAUCAACAAUAUGGUACCUCCAUAAUCCCCCACACAACCCCUACUAAUUCUUUCCUCAGAUUCUUGAUCUUCUUCCUUUCUUUUCCUCAUGCCAUGAUCCGUCAGAUUCACACUCUGUUCCUUAUCUCUUCUCUGUAUAGACACUGAAACCAUAUCCUUGCAAAUCAUUCCUUUCCUUUGAGCACCCUCAUUCUUCCCUGCUAUGCUUGAUUCCGCCCAGUCAACUGGGGAUUCGCAAACCUGCGGGACAGUAGCAACUUCCGAAGAAUACUCAUUAGGUGGGAUUGCUUGACAUACCAGAUUUCGUCCCCUUUGGAGGCUCCAAUCCAAUCCGCCAUUAUCGGGUUGUGUUCUUGAUAUGCUCUCUUCCAUGGAUCUGCGGAAUCGAUUCAUCCCUUCGCGCACACGCCCCAAUAUUUCAUUUGAUCCUUUACCUCCACAUCCCUUCGAUCCUACCGGGAAUUCCGCCACCGCCUUCUUCCGAUGAACCAGCAAGCGGAUCGCUACUCCCAUCUUCUUCCGGAUCUCGUGGAGACCCAGCGGGUCUUCCUCGACGAGCUCGCGGUGCCGUGGGGAUGUAGGCUCCCACUCUCUCUGGGUUGGGGGGGCGGCGUAGGCCUCCGGCGAGGGUGGGGUUGCGCCGGCGGUCAAUCGCCAGGCGGUCGCCUCCUGAGGGGUGGGGGCGUGAUUUUCGGGACACAUUCUAUUUUCGGGACACAUACCGCCCCACUGUCGUGUUCAUCUCAGAGACGCGGCAGUGCGAAGAGAGCAUGAAAAGAAUAAGAGAAAGAAUAGGCCUCAAACAUUGUAUCACCCAUGAUGGGUUGGGCAAAGGUGCCGGCAUCGCCCUGUUUUGGGACGACAGUAUUGAAAUAAAUUUGCUCUCUUAUGGACCGCGAUACAUUGAUGUUCAUGUGCGUAAUGAUCCAAAUGGCCCUGUGUGAAGAGGUACCUUCGUUUAUGGUGAGCCAAGAGCCCACCAGAGACACCAUAUGUGGAGUUUGCUGAAAAGAAUCAAAGAUAGGUCAGUAGAACCAUGGAUGGUGAUGGGGGAUUUCAAUGAAACCAUGUGGCAGGGAGAACAUUUCUCUGCUGCCAAAAGGUCUGAAAGGAACAUGAGCAACUUCAUAGAGGUGCUGGGGUGGUGUGACCUGCAUGAUCUUGGGUUCAAAGGCCCGGAGUGGACCUUUGACAACAAACAGAGUGGUAGGAAGAAGGUUAGAGCGAGACUGGACAGAGGCGUGGCAUCACCUAGCUGGUAUGAUAUAUUUCCCCAAGCUCAGAUCCAACACAUAGUCACUUCAAGGUCAGAUCACUUUCCCCUACUGCUCACUCUUGUGGAGGAACAAUCUAUGAACAAGAAGAAAAGUUUCAGGUAUGAAAUGAUGUGGGAAAGAGUUCAUUCCUUGGAGCCUAUAGUCCGGGAGGCAUGGGGUGUUAAAGGAGCGGCCACCAACCUAUCCGAUGUCGCACAGAAGCUUAAAGAUGUCCAAAGCUCGCUAACAGCCUGGGCCAGGAAGGACUUUGGUUCUGUGACCUCGAGUAUUAGAAGGAAGAGACAACGCCUGAAGGUUUUAAUGGAGCCCCCGAAUCUUGGAGAGAACGAGCCUCAAAUCAAGAAAUUGAACGAGGAAAUUGAUGAGCUACUAGUCAGGGAGGAGGUAAUGUGGAGACAGCAUUCGCGGGCUACAUGGAUCAGAGAAGGUGAUCAGAACACACGGUAUUUUCACCAAAAAGCAACCUGGAGACAGAAAAAGAACUUAAUCAAAAAGUUAAGGAAUAAUGCGGGAAUUUGGGUUGAGAAAAAGGAGGUGUUGAACACCACGGCUACAGAGUUCUUCAAAGAGCUGUACACAAAGGAAAAAGAUGUGGCUCCGUUCGAGUUAAUUGAUCUUCUGCCAAGUACAGUAACAGAGGCAAUGAACAGUAGUCUGAUAAAGGAGUUUACAGAGAAGAAGAUUGGAGACGCCCUCUUCCAGAUCGGCCCUCUAAAAGCGCCAGGACCAGAUGGCUUCCCGGCUCGCUUUUUUCAACGAAACUGGGAGACUUUGAAGAAGGAUGUGAUUGCGGCAGUGCAAAAAAAUUUCAUGAAUGGGAUCAUGCCUGAAGGUAUAAAUGACACAUCCAUUGUUCUGAUCCCUAAAGGCAAGAAUCCGCAGAGUAUGAAAGAUUUCCGCCCAAUAAGUCUAUGCAACGUCAUUUAUAAGGUGAUUUCUAAAUGCUUGGUAAACCGCUUGAGGCCUCUGUUGGACGACUUAAUAUUAGAAACACAGAGUGCUUUCAUCCCAGGGAGGAUGAUCACUGAUAACGCUAUCAUAGCUUUUGAAUGUUUUCAUAAGAUUCAGCAUAGUAAGAACCCACAUAAUACGCAUUGUGCGUAUAAGUUGGACCUAGCCAAAGCAUAUCACAGAGUGGAUUGGGACUUCCUUGAAGGUGCAAUGGAGAAGAUGGGUUUCCACUCACUCUGGAUUAGUUGGGUAAUGAGUUGUGUUAAAUCUGUCCGCUUCUCGGUAAAACUGAAUGGAGAAGUGUUGGAGUCGUUUAUGCCCUCCAGAGGCCUCAGGCAAGGGGAUCCGCUUAGCCCUUAUUUAUUCCUCUUUGUUGCAGAUGGUCUUGCUACAAUAUUCAAUAGAGAGGUCCAGGGUGGGAAUAUUUCACCUGUUAAGGUGGCCCGGAGUAGCCCGGGGAUCUCGAAUCUACUGUUUGCGGAUGACAGUUUGGUGUUUUUUAAGGCCUCAUGCGACCAAGCCAGGGCAGUCAAGAAAGCUCUCACUCUGUUCCAAAAAUGCACGGGUCAACUAUUGAGUAGUAGCAAAUGCUCGAUCCUUUUCAGUGAACAUUGCCCGAGCAGUUUGCAGAAUGAGAUUAAGGACAUUCUCGCUUGCGAAACAGCUACCUUUGAAAGUAAGUACUUGGGGCUCCCAACACCAGAAGGAAGGAUGAAGGAGUCGAAUUUUCAACCCAUCAUGGAUAGAUUUCUGAAGAGGUGUAAUGAAGGGUUUCGAAGGCACAUGUCUUUCGCUGCUAAGGAGGUGCAUGUUAAAUCGAUAGUACAAGCACUACCCACUUUCGCUAUGGGGGUGUUUAAAUUCUCAGUGGGUUUCUGUGAGAAGUACGAGAGACUCAUCAGAGAAUUCUGGUGGGGGGAAGAGGAAGGGCAGAGAAAAGUCCAUUGGAUGGCUUGGGAUCGUAUGAUAAAACCAAAGAGAGCGGGAGGUAUAGGUUUCCGGGACAUGCAAAUUUUCAAUCAAGCUCUCCUUGCGAGACAGAGCUGGCGCCUCCUUAAAAAACCGAACAGUUUGUGCGCGAGAGUCCUAAAAUCGAAAUACUACCCAAAGGGUGAGCUUCUUGACACUGUGUUUGCUUCAGAUGCUUCCCAAGCGUGGAGGGGUAUAGAGCAUGGCCUUGAGCUUCUGAAAAAGGGCCUAAUAUGGAGAGUGGGCAAUGGAAAGAGAAUCCAAAUCCAGAGGGACCAAUGGGUGCCCAGGAAAAGUGGACUAAAGAUCACGGUCUUCAAGAGGCGAUCAAGUUUAAGAUGGGUGAACCAACUCAUAAACCAGGAAGCAAUGAAUGGGACAAGAACUUAAUCUAUCAAAUGUUCCACAGCUAUGAUGCAGAAGAAAUAUGUAAAGUUAAAAUUCCUGUAAAAGAAGUGGAUGACUGUGUAGCAUGGCAUGUGGAGAAAUCUGGCAUUUUCUCCGUCCGUAGUGCGUAUAAGCUUGGUGCAAACCUCAAGCAGCAAGGUAGCGCGAGGGCAUCUUCUUCUGUAAAUGAGGCGGAUAACAGAAGCAUUUGGGAUCUUAUUUGGAAAGCAAAGGUCCCUGAAAAGAUAAGAAUCUUUGCUUGGAGAGUGGCCACCAAAACCCUCCCCACAAAAGAAAAUAAGUGGAAGAGAACACUCGAGCUGGACAAGAUCUGCAAUAUUUGUGGGAGAGAAACGGAAGAUGAAUAUCAUGCAGUUAUAAACUGCACAAAAGCCAGAGCGCUGAGAGAGGAAAUGAGGAGACAAUGGGAGCUACCAACUGAAGAUCAAUUUCACUACACAGGCAUUGACUGGUUACAUAACCUACUGUGCAACGGCAAUGCUGAGGCACAGAGGGAAAUACUGCUGCUGAUAUGGCGAGCAUGGUGGCUCCGUGAAGACUGCGUUCAUGCAAAGGGCAAUGCCACUAUCAGCCAAUCUGCUCAAUUCCUUUCUAAAUACGCAGAAGAAAUCAGGUUUGGUGGAGUAGAGCUCACGGAAUGUAAGGAUGUUCCCGACCUAGUCGGCCGACGGGACUCUCCAGGAGAUGUGCGACGUGCAGAAAUAAAGAGAGGAAAACAAAUUAGGGAUUUGGGCCAGUGCAACGGCCAGUGGGUCAGAGUUGUAGACGCAAAUCAUGCAGGCAAUUUAGUUAUGGCGUUGAACGACUCCACGCAUACAGCUAAGAGGAAGUGGGAUCCGCCCCCUGAGGGCAUCUGGAAAUUGAACACAGAUGCAGCGUUCCUGUCGUCAAAUGGGGACACAGCUGCGGGAUUUAUUGCCAGAACGCACCUGGGGAUAGUCGCCAUUGCGGGUGGGCAGCAUCUACAACCAUGCAAUAAUUCAGAGGAAGCCGAGAUCACUGCUAUUUUGCAUGGGCUGUCAGCCCUAAGUGCAUACUACAGGGGACCAGUUUGGGUUGAAUCGGACUGUGCAUCCGUCAUAGCGAUACUGAACAAUAAGGAGAGUAAUCAGACUGCGCUCUUUCCCCUGGUCACGGAUGUUUGGCAUUUCAAAACAGUGUUCGAAGAGGUGCUUUUCAUUGCCGUGAAAAGACCCAGCAAUAGGAUGGCUCAUGAGCUAGCUGCUCUUGUCAGAAGACAGGGAAACUAUCUAUCUACCGGAGAGGUUCCCCCGAUCCUCAGAAGCAUCCUCAUGGAGGAUAGUAACAGUAUCCACUCUGUCGUUUAAGAUGUGGUUGGGUUGAUUCUCAAAAAAAAAAUUACUCAGAUUAUUCCCUAUGUCCUAGUCACCAUGAGCCUGUGGGGUCACACACUUGAAGAUAUUCUACAACCCUUGGAUAAGGUUCAGUGGAUUACAGGAAUUGAAAUCCACUUGGGCCUCAAGAGUUGAGCCCACAUAGGGGUAGCUAUAUAAAAGGUGGAGUGCACCAGAUUUUUUUUCUUUCAAAAUGGGAGUUGUCUUGCAUUCAUUAAGAAGAAAAGAGUCGCUCGGUUAAUUGGAGAAAACCGAGCGAAAACCAGAUUGCCCAUUAGUUAUGAAAAACCGGGCGAAAAAACAUCAGAACCGCUGAGCGACACACGUAAGAAACCGCACGCACACCACUCCAAAGAAGGUCUUGGUGAGACAACAUGCAUGCGUCAUCAUCGUCACUCCUCCUCUAGAGGUGUCAUUGCCAUCCCUACACAAACGACUCCGAUUUCGCCGUAGGCGAUCGUCGACUCAACCCACACUGUAGCGGACUCGUGAAGCUGCAUGAAGAUUUGUGCCAAGACUCAGACACCUGCGGCAAGACAACGCAACUCCGACUUUGACGGAGAACUCUGAAGGACAAAACCAAGCACACCAGGCGCCACGGAAGAUCACCGAGCGGGCCACCUGCAGCCAGUCAUCGUAUACCACAGGCCCCGCCGCCGCAGUUUCGACUCUACAACAACAAACAAACAAACAAACCGAGGUAAUACCAUGGACACGCCGGGGAGAAGAGUCGACUACCUCAACCAUUGUCACAUCGCCGACAACGCUCCGACCAUCAUCAUUGCAGAUUAAGGCACGCGAGAGAUAACCAGUUUUGGUGAUCCACUUUAGGGUUUGGAGAAACCCUCCAGGUGUUGUCGGCAUCUCCUUUCUUCGUCCAGCGUUUCCAACUUAGCUUCUAGUGCGUCAGUGCACUCGAAUAGAAUACCACAAGGGUUCAAGGCUUAGGAGGUGGGUUCUGAAGAUUUCGUCGUUACCCUGUGAAGAGCAAAUGCUUGUCUCGCACACACUUUGUUUGAUCGAGGAGUGUCAUGUAAAUGCCUACUUUCAAGUUGAUCGUCAUUGGUGGCGAAAAAAUAGUCCACACUUGAUGUUCGAGCCAUCUUUAAUUUCUUAUAUCGAUAUAAGACCGAUUCCUUGAGGAAACAUUUCAUGUUUUUCUUGACUAAUUAUGAGUGACUAGUGAUGUCUGAUUGCGGAGCAGUUAAUCUUACUCAAGGCCCUACUUAGUCCUACCAAACCUAUAAUUGGCAAAUCAUCAAGGUCAAGUGAAGCAACCAACUAUGGUCAAACAAGUGAAUGGAGGAAAAAGACUAAGCCAAAGAAAUAGUUAAUGGAAAAGAGGCCCAAGUCAAUAAGGAAUCCCAAGAAAAGAAACCCACCAUGGUGGAAUAGAUGAGAGGGAUUAGUCCACCAUGAGCUAUGAACUCACCCUCUCUCCUAGUCCAUCAUGGAAUUAUGGAUCAAAGAUUACUUCCAUUGCCCAUCCCACCCGUGAUUUCAUUAUCGUUGUGCACAGAUCAUUGUAGCUCUACCAAGGCAAGAACUAAUGAUAUGUAUUGCCAUAAGAUGGUGCCAAGUGCUAUACUAAUGUUUUUAUUAGUGAAUUCAGUGAAGCUAUUAUUCCAAGCAUUGGUAUCAGCUGGUAUUGUUGCCCGGACAGAGCUACCAAUGCCAAUAAAUCUUUCACCUUUUAAUUAGUUAUGUACAAAGAAUCAUAUAGAAGAUGAGGAAUGAAAUUUCAUGUGGCUGCCAUUGAUAGAAACGGAGGAUGUAGUUUUCACGGCAAAGUGGGACAAAGCGAAGGCAGAGCGAGGGGUUAACAAAGAAAAUGGCAGGAAGGAAGAAUAUGUUUUGUAUGGUCGUGUUAACAUAUCUUCUAUUUUGACACAAAUAAGGCUAUUUUUUGCAUUUUAAUUGUCAGAGCUAAAGGCAGAGCCUACAUGCCUACAUGUGUGGUAGCUACAUAAGCCCUGUGGUAACCUUAGUCUAUAUAAACCUUGUACUAGGUAUGUAACUCAUUCACCACUUGAAUGAAAUCACACGAAGAGAACUACAACUCCCAUACUCGUUCAAAGAACUCUAAGAUCAAGUUCUAGGAGUCUCGUAUGAUUUGGCCCAGUGUUGACGAAAAGAAAAUUUGGAGAGAGUGCCGAGGAGUCCCAUACGACUCGGGCCGAUAACUAAAUAUCCCUCGUCGCCUUUUAACAUAGGACUAACCCGCACUCUGUUGAGUAUAUUGAACCUAUAAUUUUUUUUUGAAAUAUUAAUAUACCAUUGUGUGCGUGGAAACAAGAAUAAGAAAAUAUAACAAAAAAACCACCAACAUGUCCCUAAAUUAAACUGUGGUAACCAGCAUGUGAGAGUGCUUACAAAUACAAAUACAAAACUACUCCGUCAAUGUAUCUAGAACAUUCACAGCUAAACAAAUCUAAGACAAGUAAUUUAUGACAGAGGUAAUAUAUUCGAUGAAUUGUGUAACUAUCUGACACGCUGACAGCAGCCCCCGACAGCAGAUGCACAUGAAGAUGCGGAUACUUAACAUUAUAGCCGCAAGCAGCAGGGCUGCUAACCAUACGAUACGAGAGUGUGAGAGCAAUUGUUUACCAUCUCCUGGUAAACAAACGCAUGAGACGAGGGCCUGAGCCAAAACCCACAAGUCCAUGCCCUGUACCGCACGCACACACCGAGGAAAACAACUCCGGAGAUGAGACGGCGGAUGGGCGUCGGUAACCGCGACCGCAUCCGAGAGAGACGCCGGGCCAAGGACGAGGGAGCACAUCGUCAAAGGGACCCUAGCUCCUUUUACUAUUAAUCGCGCCUGCACUGCGCCGGAGGUCCGCCCGCCGCGGCACACCGUCUUUGUGUCUUUCGCUAGAUUUAGGGUUGGUUUCUCCGUGCUUUUACAGGCCGGAGGGGUAGAAUCUUUCUUUUCUUCCUUUCACCCCUUUCACCCCUUUGCGUUCUACACUGCUCCCGCGUGUGCAGCAUAUACGCAUACUCUAGGGUUGAACGCAUGAUGAUCUUCUAGAAAGAAGAGGCAUCCAACCGCAUCCAUGUUUUUUUUUUUAAAACAAGGCAAAAUAUUUACCAUUUUCAUUGAAUAAGAAGGAGUAUUAGGGGUCUUGGCCAAAGGCCAAAUACAACGGAUGGGCCAUGAUUGUGUUGAGCGUGGUAGCUUCGGCGGGUUCCUUUUUCUUAAUAGUAGUAAAAAAAAGAGCAGAGGAUUCAUCUCCCUCCCGCAUCGACAUCUCGUUUAAUGCUAAUUUCUGCUACUUCUUGGGCACAAUCAUUUGUGCGAUCGUGUCGCUCUUGAGUUGUUCCUCGAGCUCCAACUAUACCGCUUGCACGCCUACAUGCUUGCCUCUGCGUCCUGGGUCAAUAAUUCCGCUUAAUUAUUUGGUCCACCCUGUGGUUUUCAGGAUAUUGCUCUGUCGCCUGUCGGUCAUAGAGGCCGUCUGGCACCGACCUCUGGCAAAGAUCAUCAGCAAGGAUCAGUGGGCGUCCAGUGUCUUUAAGACUGAGACACCAUUCACAUUUGUUCAGUCACGAAUCUGUCAUGUUGAUUUCUUUUUACCAUGUUUCCUGCCAUUUGCUUUUGUUUUUCACCGAUGGAACCAUUUUUACUACACCCUCCAUAGAAGAAUACUCCCUCCGUUCCUAAAAUAUGUCCAUAUGCAUCCGUAUGUAGUCCAUAGUGGAAUGUCUAAAAAGAACUAUAUUUAGGAACGGAGGGAGUAUAAGAUCUAAACGACUGUACAUUUCUUUACGGAGGGAGUGCAUGCCAAUAAAAUUUCCUUCAGAUUUCAGGCUCUUGAAGCACAAGAUCACCAGCAAAACACGAGUCAACAAGAACAAAGAGAGACUGAUCAGCACCAUAUUCAUGCUCACCGCAUGCACAAUUUAAAGUGAGUAUUUCAAAAGGAAGGAUACAACAUCUCGUCUUCUUCAAGAAAGAUGACACAGCCCAUGCAUACCCGCAAAAUAAUGCAUCAAAUCUUCUGCCUCUACUCCCCCUGCACUCCAUUCCAGGACCAGCCCCGGUUACCAGCUGGUCGCUUUUGAACAAUUCAUGGAGAUGCAGAGUGGGUCACGAAUCCUAAUCUGAAUCACAAUACUAGAAAUGGCAAAUGGCCUUCUAAACCCUCCAGCCACAUUCAGACAUUCUACAUCCAGUCGGUAGUACUUUACAGUUGAACUCUCAUCUCCACACCACUUCAUCUGUCCUUGACCGGUCACGCACAAAGGCCGCACCGUCUUUAAAUUAGCCUAGUCGAAGGAACCGCCUAUGUACCGGGAGAACAUACCGCUUCGACCGCCACCCUCUUCAUCACGUUAGGGCAGGGAUCUCCACCGAAGUUGUCGGGGGAGAUGGCGACGGCGCAUCUUUGCUUCCCAAUGCAUUUCUGUUCAAAUCAGCACAAGAAACAUCAGCAAGUAGCAUAACAAUGUGAACAUGGGCAUUCUGUAGCAUUCCGGUAAAGAAAAUUCAAGCGGUCUAAAACUAUCAAAAGAAAUUAACUGACCUCAAGAACAGUCUGUGACUUGGUUGAAUGACACUCCCCUUGCUCGAAACUUCCGCAAGUCCCAGAGGGCGUCCCGAAGCUUGCAAACUUGAUGGCAGAAAUAGACUGCCCAGGUGCGCAUCUUAGAUGCACCUUCGACCUGCGUAACUCAGGCUUAGCUUCCCCUGAGCUCUCGGUCUGCCAGUUCUUGAUACUUGGAUGAAACUCUGAUACAUCAGCACAGACACUUGAGACUGAUCUCUUCACAAGCGAAAUCUUCGAAGUAUCCCCUCCAAGUUCCUCGAAAACAACUAGCAGAUUUCUAGAUGGUUGCAACCAGGAUUUUGGCACAUGAUACCUGAAUAUAACAGUUUGAACUAUUUAGUCAAUGCAGUAGCAACAACACUUUACUAACAAGGGCAAAAACCAAACAAUAAUUGGAAGUGAAUGCUCCAGUUCUAAUGGUGAAAGGAAGACAAGUACCAAGCAGUAUGAUUUUGAAUACUAAAAAAAGAUGAGGCAGCAGGCUGAUUAUCUCUAAUUCAAAUGUUGUGGUAAAUGGUCUUACCAACGUUGUGUCGGCUGACCGCAACCUGCUUGACAUUUGGUUGCCCGGAAUGACCCAGUGUAACUGUAAUCUUUGCAGUCCCCAGUUGCAUAUGCUAAUGAGUACCGUCCAAUGCUUUGUCCAUUUAUCCAGAUUUGUCCCUUACCCAUGCUACCCAUAUCCAGAGCCAGAGGUUCAUCACCGCUUGGAGUAUCAAAGUAUGCCUAUUAAAACAAGCAGUUGUAAGAGUGGGAUUGAAAAUAUUAAACCCCUAAAGGGUUCCUAUCAUAGAUUGAUUUUUUUUCCUUACCCUAUACCAUGCCAAUGGCAUUUGGUUUUGUGCUAUCAAUGAUCCUUGCAUCCAUUCAACUGAACUUGCACCUUCUAAGGAGUUCAGGUUCAUUUGUUCACCUUUCAGACCAACCUAGAAUGGAUAAAGGUACAUUUAUUUACCUUCUUUCUAACUUAAAACAUAAAUUAGUCAACAAAGAAGUUACUAGAUGCUGCACUCACCUGAUAGGUCCAUGUCUGCCAGGUCAGAUCUCGCGAACCUUCGUCCAAACCAUGAAGCACAACAGGACCAUUGACACCAGUAUUCCAUGUCUCGUAAUGAACCCCGAUAUUCUACAGGGACAAGAAUAGUUCAGUCAUAUAUAUGCAAGAUUAUUAGCUGUAAGUUUAUAAAUUCAUGCAGCGAUGAGGGAACGAACCGGUAGCCCACAAGCAACACUCAGCAGUGAUAUUUUGUUAGUACCGGCACGAAGGUUAACAUUGCCCUUGUAUGAGAUUCUUUUAUCUUCCCUGGUUCCAGAAGCAGAGCCUACACCAGAACAAAAAUUAUUUUAUUCACUAUUCAGUUUCCACAGUGCUGGUGUUGUAUAGACAAGAGAGCAGUUUCAAGUGGAAAACCUUGUAGCUGUCCAUUGAUAAAGAUAUGCAAGGCAUGGCCAGCAGACUGCACAGAGAGAGACAAAGGCUUGCCACCUUGUAGAAACUUCUCAGAGGGGCUUACAUCCACACUGCAAUAAUCAUUUUAAGCAUAUUAUGUUUCAGCAUGAAAGGAUGCAGAGGCCAGGGGUAAUCCUCCUUUUCUAAAACAAAAAGCAUGAAAGACAUGUCCCUCGUUUUUUCAUAAACAGAAAACCGAAGGAAAGUUGUACAAACAGAUGAAACUCCACCUGUAACUUAUUCGUGUGGCAAUUACCUGGUCAUGUACCAAAGAUAAUCACUGGUGUCUCUUGUGACGUUAAGCUGUUCCAGUAGACCAGUUGUGGUGAGCAACGGAGCAGCUGCCAGUGAACCAACCUCCUCAUCAUACCUCUCCCACAUCAUUGAAGAGGCCCCAUCGGACCACAUUUGCAUUUGAGAUGUCUGAACACCAACCUGUGGAGAUAAUAACAGUUUGGACCAGCUAAACAAACUCCUCAUAUAAUGGAUUGAAAUAAUAAGACGUGAGAACGACAUAAUACCAUCCGCAUAAGCACAAGUGAAACUUACCGUUGCAGUGUUAUAAACAACUGUUUUGCAAUCAGGAAGGAUGCUGAUUGACCAAGGUGGAAGACUAUAAUGCUCAUUGUCGAAGACAACUUUUGCAUGAGAGUUAGAAUUAUAGUUUGCGAGAAAAGCUGCACAACCAGAUGGAGAUCGGUAGACAUGGGCCUGAAUUACAGGUUGUAGAUGUAAGUGACAGAUCAAGCCAUAUAAGAUAUAUGCACUUCAGUGAUGGGAAAAGGUAAUCAAUACAAACCUCUUGCAUGCUUCCAAGGGAAGUCACAGUUGGAUCAACAGAAACCAAGGCCGGCUCACAUAACUUAAUAGCUCUAUGAAGUUCUUUAAGAUGUCCAUACUUUGGUUCUCUUGCAAGUCCUGGUUAGUAACAAAGCAGAGUUUGGGUAAGAAUUAUCUAGCCCAUUUAGCAAAACUUCAAUUCUUUAUAUGUCAAAAGUCACCACUAUGUUCAAAAUAGACAAAUAAUAGAUACAGAUAGUGAUCAUACUGACAGCAAAACUCUGUAAUUCUAAACUUACCAUAUUCAUCAAGUGGAGCGUCAUAAUCAUAGCUUGUGGUGAUGAAGGGACCUCCAGCGGUGCGCCCAAAAUUUGUUCCACCAUGAUACUUUGUUCAGAAAAAAAAACAUGAAUAUCACCCCGCAGAAAGCUUCAAGAAAACUUGCUAAUGGUAAUAAGAAUAUCUACAACUUAUUUUCUGUCAUACCAUGUAGUAGUUGAUAAAAGAACCACCCUUCUGCACGAAGCGAGCAACAGCAAAUGAAAGAUCUUCAGCUGGUCGUUUACGGAUGGUCCCACCAAAUUCGGUAAACCUACAUUAUUGUUCAUAUUAAUGCAAUUGUACAGAAUACGAAUGAUGAACAUGUGAACUGCAUCAAUGAAAAAUGUAGCUGUAUAAUUUUCGCAGUAGAUUGGAUAUUUCCCUCGAGAGAGAACUUACCAACCAGUCCAAGCUUCAGUCCACAUCGUAGGCUUUGAAGGCGUGUUCGGUGUAAAUGCAUCACAGUAGAAACCAUUGCAUGCGUUUAUCUGUACAAAGGACAAGUUAAAUGUAAUUUGAACUACUAGUUCGACAAGAUGUAGCAUACAAACUGAUUUGAAUUAAUUGAUUAUAGUUGUAAAACGAGUGUACUAUAUUCUGUAUACAAACUGGAACCAGAUAUUUUAGAAACCUAAAACACUAAAUGGAAUGCCUUAUGGACAUAACCUGCAGUGAGCUCACAGAAAUAUGCAUCAGCAUGCUGUGUACCCUUGUUACAACUUGCAAGACCAAAAAAAAAACUAAUACCCUUAAAAAUCUAAGAGGCCAGAUAAUCAUCAGUUUGCUACAUUUGUGCCAUGAUCUUUUUAAUUCGACAUGGGACAAGAUUAACAUAC